AUGGCGGGCCUUGGUGCCAUCCAGUCUUUGUGGGUCCCGACCCCUGCAGAACCGCAGCGCCAGCUGUCAGGUCCGCCUUCCCUGCCCCAAAGCGGGGGGAGCAGCCCACAGGGGCCUUUUGCCCUGGCCACCUGUCCUGCAGCAGCUGCUGUCCAUUCCCCCUUCUUUCGCCUCCUGAGAAGCACACAGCUUCCGAGACGAGCCAGCCCCCGCAUUCUUCCUGACCCAACGGCUAGCGGCACCCCUCGCCCCCAGGAAGGGUCCAGAGAGAGAUCUCAGGCCAAGCCUUCCUCACCUCGAGGCCCUGUCUCCCUACCCCGCCAGGCAACAGUGGCUGACCCACCAGGCCCACCUCUCCCGCCUUCUUCCUCUUCACUUUCAGGAUCUUCCAUCUCUUGGCUGAAUCUGGGAGCAGAGUCUGCAAAGGCCUUCUCUUUAUCCUUUGGGGAUUUCAGCUUCACAACCCUGAGUGGAGAAGAGAAGGAGGCACACACAGAGCGAUGGUGAUGUGAAGAUGGAGGGAGAAAUCGGGAUGCUGGCAGCCACCGAAACUUAAUUUGUGUAUUCUGACUCAGGCUUUCAAUGUGAUGCAAGGAAUGAGAUGGCCUUCCUGGUGGCUCACAUGGUGAAGCGUCUGCCUGCAGUGCAGGAGACCUGGGAUCAAUCCCUGGGUCGGGAAGAUCCCCUGGAGAAGNNNNNNNNNNNNNNNUCCGGUACUCUUGCCUGGAAAAUUCCGUGGACGGAGGAGCCUGGUAGGCUAUGGUCCAUGGAGUUGCAAAGAGCCGGACAUGACUGAGCGACUUCACUUUCACACGGAAGGAGACAUUGAAGGGGAGGCUGAGUGUACGAGGGAUUUUGCAAAUGUUCCGCGGGCUCUCGAGAGCCUAAUGGAAGGAUGUCAGGUCAGCAUGAGAGAAGGCUACAUACUCUGCGGCUCCUUGGGACCAUCAAAAAUGGAAAUAAAGGACAUGAUGGGACCACCUAGGAUGGUCCCCAAGCAGAUUAUGGGGCCCUG
RNAcentral lists this long non-coding RNA (1015 nucleotides) under Capra hircus (goat). Its description in RNAcentral is "lncRNA (ENSCHIG00010001720.1)". Lineage: Eukaryota; Metazoa; Chordata; Mammalia; Artiodactyla; Bovidae. The record is from RNAcentral.